CUCUCCAUCCCGAAAUCCCUCCUAAUAAAACACAGAUUUCGCCCUCUCGUCCUCUCAUUACUUUAGGCUAUUGGGAAGGAGAUGUGCGCGACUGGGCAGGGAGACGACGUCGAGCCUCCACUUGGGUUCGAGUAGGGCGCGUGGAAGGGACUCCUUGGAACACAACUCCCAUUGCCCAAUGACGUUUGAAGUACAUCGUUGUUUCGAGAUGGAGUUGUUCUAAGAUUCAACCACGAGCAUGAGAAGAAGCAACGGAUGAUGGGACGCUAAGAUGAAUUGGAGCAGCUGGGAAUACCAUCAAACCUCACGGUAAUUUGUGCACGAUGUUUCAUAUAUGAACCAAUUUUAUUGGAUAUUUUUACAUCUCACUGGGUCUCCUUACAAGCAAGAACAAUCUACCCUCGUUAUUGCCACUUACACAAGAAAAUAAACCAAUCAAUAACGAGAUUUUUUUUUUCUGAUUUACUAACGUGAUACUAAAUCCUGUACCAACUCCGCCACAGCUGACUCGAACAGGGCAUUUUCCAGUUGCAUCCCCAGUUCCUCCUCUACCUCGUCGAAGCAUCUCCACCGUCCGUUCCCCUCCAUCUCCCUCAGCGUCACCUCCCC
This is a long non-coding RNA of Musa acuminata AAA Group (dessert banana), 609 nucleotides long. RefSeq lists it as uncharacterized. The record is from RefSeq and is a predicted model, not a curated record. The transcript is spliced from 2 exons. NCBI's taxonomy places the organism in Eukaryota, Viridiplantae, Streptophyta, Magnoliopsida, Zingiberales, Musaceae.